Molecule: long non-coding RNA, 275 nt
Organism: Jaculus jaculus (lesser Egyptian jerboa)
Lineage: Eukaryota; Metazoa; Chordata; Mammalia; Rodentia; Dipodidae
Exons: 3
Source: RefSeq, a predicted model, not a curated record
GGGGACCUGUCCCUGAGCUGGGCUCUGGGCGUACCGCGGAUGGGGAGGCGAAAACGCUGUCUUAUGGACACGCGCGGCCAUCACACUCUUGAACUCACAGCCCCUGUGGUUUUCAGCGCUCAGUUGAGCCUGUCACUACUUCACCAUAGAUUGAGAAGCAUAGGUGAGACCCCGUCCUCCCCGCAGACCCUGGGAGAGCUUGUCAGGUUCAUCAUGUAUCCACUAGGCCAGGCAUGAUGAUGCACACCUUUAAGCCCAGCGCUUGGGAGGCAGGA